Pogoniulus pusillus (Red-fronted tinkerbird) is the source of this 654-nucleotide long non-coding RNA. RefSeq lists it as uncharacterized. NCBI's taxonomy places the organism in Eukaryota, Metazoa, Chordata, Aves, Piciformes, Lybiidae. The transcript is spliced from 2 exons. The record is from RefSeq and is a predicted model, not a curated record.
GUUCGGGGGUGCGUUUUGUGGGUCGAGUGGUUCUUCUUGACCCCCCCCUCCCGCCGCUGCUUUUGCGUUAACUCGGCUGCUUUUCGUCACGUUUUAACCUGAGUGUCUUAAUGAGCUCUGCUGGUUAGAGCCGUUCUGCCGUGCGCGGUCUCGGGUGGCAACGAGGCGUGGGGAGAAGCUUUCUGCCUGUUGCUGCACGGUUCCAGCCUGCCGCGGUUGCCAUCCAUGUGGUCAUUCUUUAACUCGUUUCUCCCUCUUCAUCUAACGGGUUUAAGGUGCAAAUCCGUGGCAGUUCCCAGCGAUCUAAAUCCCAAUUUCCACUCUUCCCAUUUCCAGCUCUGUGUUCCCAUCUUUCCCUGUGCUUCACAGAGGACAGCGCCAAAGAGGCUGCCUUUAGCUGUGCAGGUGAUGCUCCAAGCUGAGUGGGUUUCAGACCAGUGUCUUAACGGAAUACCUGAAGCCUUCAGGGGGGCACAUCCAUUGACCAGAAAGCAUUUGGCACCCCCCAGCCAAGAGUUUGCACUCUAGCUUAUUGCCAGCAUGACUUCAGACAUGGAAGAGAACUGCCAGGACCAGAGAAGACAGGCAGGGUGAGGGGGAGGAAGCCUACACCUAAUAAGAUUAAAUUUGCAUGGAUUUGCCUGGUGUGAUUUA